This 252-nucleotide ribosomal RNA is filed under the name uncultured bacterium. RNAcentral describes it as "partial 16S ribosomal RNA". It matches the Rfam family "Bacterial small subunit ribosomal RNA", at positions 524 to 776 of the family's 1533-position model. The record is from RNAcentral.
UACGUAGGCAGCAAGCGUUGUUCGGAAUUACUGGGCGUAAAGAGUGUGUAGGCGGUGCUCUAAGUUCGGUGUGAAAUCUCCCGCUUAACUGGGAGGGUGCGCCGGAAACUGGAGUGCUCGAGCGUGGGAGAGGAAAGCGGAAUUCCUGGUGUAGCGGUGAAAUGCGUAGAUAUCUGGAGGAACACCGGUGGCGAAGGCGGCAUCCUGGACCGAUAUUGACGCUGAUGCGCGAAAGCCAGGGGAGCAAACGGG